RNAcentral lists this ribosomal RNA (409 nucleotides) under Sporosarcina psychrophila. RNAcentral's name for it is "bacterial SSU rRNA". It matches the Rfam family "Bacterial small subunit ribosomal RNA", at positions 986 to 1385 of the family's 1533-position model. The record is from RNAcentral. Lineage: Bacteria; Bacillati; Bacillota; Bacilli; Caryophanales; Caryophanaceae.
GGACCCUGACGGUGUAGAGAUACGCCUUUCCCUUCGGGGACAGUGGUGACAGGUGGUGCAUGGUUGUCGUCAGCUCGUGUCGUGAGAUGUUGGGUUAAGUCCCGCAACGAGCGCAACCCUUGAUCUUAGUUGCCAGCAUUCAGUUGGGCACUCUAAGGUGACUGCCGGUGAUAAACCGGAGGAAGGUGGGGAUGACGUCAAAUCAUCAUGCCCCUUAUGACCUGGGCUACACACGUGCUACAAUGGAUGAUACAGAGGGUUGCCAACCCGCGAGGGGGAGCCAAUCCCAUAAAAUCAUUCCCAGUUCGGAUUGGAGGCUGCAACUCGCCUCCAUGAAGCCGGAAUCGCUAGUAAUCGUGGAUCAGCAUGCCACGGUGAAUACGUUCCCGGGCCUUGUAACACACCGAGA